GUUUUAAUAGUUUAUAAAAAAAUAUUGGUCUUGUUAAACCAAAGAAAUCAAUUUUAAAACU
This 61-nucleotide transfer RNA is filed under the name Campodea lubbockii. RNAcentral describes it as "Campodea lubbocki tRNA-Thr". The record is from RNAcentral. Lineage: Eukaryota; Metazoa; Arthropoda; Diplura; Rhabdura; Campodeidae.